GACGAACGCUGGCGGCGUGCUUAACACAUGCAAGUCGAACGGAAAGGCCCCAGCUUGCUGGGGUACUCGAGUGGCGAACGGGUGAGUAACACGUGGGUGAUCUGCCCUGCACUCUGGGAUAAGCCUGGGAAACUGGGUCUAAUACCGGAUAGGACCGUGCUUUAGUGUGUGCGGUGGAAAGUUUUUCGGUGCGGGAUGAGCCCGCGGCCUAUCAGCUUGUUGGUGGGGUAAUGGCCUACCAAGGCGGCGACGGGUAGCCGGCCUGAGAGGGUGUACGGCCACAUUGGGACUGAGACACGGCCCAGACUCCUACGGGAGGCAGCAGUGGGGAAUAUUGCACAAUGGGCGCAAGCCUGAUGCAGCGACGCCGCGUGGGGGAUGACGGCCUUCGGGUUGUAAACCGCUUUCGGCAGGGACGAAGCUUUUGUGACGGUACCUGCAUAAGAAGCACCGGCUAACUACGUG
This 465-nucleotide ribosomal RNA is filed under the name uncultured bacterium. RNAcentral's name for it is "partial 16S ribosomal RNA". It matches the Rfam family "Bacterial small subunit ribosomal RNA", at positions 28 to 507 of the family's 1533-position model. The record is from RNAcentral.